Molecule: ribosomal RNA, 385 nt
Filed under: uncultured crenarchaeote
Lineage: Archaea; Thermoproteati; Thermoproteota
Description: bacterial SSU rRNA
Rfam family: Archaeal small subunit ribosomal RNA
Source: RNAcentral
AACCAGCACCUCAAGUGGUCAGGAUGAUUAUUGGGCCUAAAGCAUCCGUAGCCGGCUCUGUAAGUUUUCGGUUAAAUCUGUACGCUCAACGUACAGGCUGCCGGGAAUACUGCAGAGCUAGGGAGUGGGAGAGGUAGACGGUACUCGGUAGGAAGGGGUAAAAUSCUUUGAUCUAUUGAUGACCACCUGUGGCGAAGGCGGUCUACCAGAACACGUCCGACGGUGAGGGAUGAAAGCUGGGGGAGCAAACCGGAUUAGAUACCCGGGUAGUCCCAGCUGUAAACUAUGCAAACUCAGUGAUGCAUUGGCUUGUGGCCAAUGCAGUGCUGCAGGGAAGCCGUUAAGUUUGCCGCCUGGGAAGUACGUACGCAAGUAUGAAACUUAA